RNAcentral lists this long non-coding RNA (320 nucleotides) under Mytilus galloprovincialis (Mediterranean mussel). Lineage: Eukaryota; Metazoa; Mollusca; Bivalvia; Mytilida; Mytilidae. The record is from RNAcentral.
AAAAAAUUUAACGACGUUUUUGUCUAUAAUUGUCUAUCCUGUUACUGUAACCAUAGCAACCAUAGUAACAGGAUAGACAAAUUUCUUCGUUUUUGAUUGCUGUUGUGAAAUAACUACUCCCUUUGGUGAAGUGAUUAUGGUUUUCUAUUGUGAAUUUGGUUUCCAACACGUUAUUGCACUUUUUACAACCAUACUGUUAGUGUAAUUAAUCAAAAUGGUUGGUAACAGCAUAGACAUGAAAAAAAGUACGCUCUAUUUUUUUCACUAAAUGUCUUGAAAUUUCUUUUCUCUACACUGUCGUUCAAGAAACGAGGCGUUUU